Molecule: ribosomal RNA, 265 nt
Filed under: uncultured archaeon
Lineage: Archaea
Description: partial 16S ribosomal RNA
Rfam family: Archaeal small subunit ribosomal RNA
Source: RNAcentral
AGUCACUGACAUUAGAUACCCGCGUAGUCCAGGGUGUAAACGCUGCAGACUUGGUGUUGGAAGUCCUUUGGGGGCAUUCAGUGCCGGAGAGAAGUUGUUAAGUCUGCUACUUGGGGAGUACGUCCGCAAGGAUGAAACUUAAAGGAAUUGGCGGGGGAGCACCACAACGGGUGGAGCCUGCGGUUUAAUUGGACUCAACGCCGGAAAUCUCACCGGAUAGGACAGACAUAUGAUAGUCGGGCUGAAGACUCUACUUGAUGAUCUG